Hyaena hyaena (striped hyena) is the source of this 491-nucleotide long non-coding RNA. RefSeq lists it as uncharacterized. Lineage: Eukaryota; Metazoa; Chordata; Mammalia; Carnivora; Hyaenidae. The transcript has 3 exons. The record is from RefSeq and is a predicted model, not a curated record.
GAUACAGGCUAAGACCCCAAAUGUCCAAGCCCUGUACCAUCUCUAGCGGGAUGGAGAUACGGGCAGGAUGGGGAGGAAGGCGCUCCCAAAGCCGGCCCCGUUUGCUCAAGAGCCCUGCUGUGAAGAAUGCGAAAGAAGCCCGCCGCUGCUGUGCCGACACAGAGGACUGGGCCCAGCAUCCACGCCGGGCUCCAGACACCUGUCUGGCCAGGACUUCGAGCAACCUUGGAGAGAAGAGUGGAGGGGGCCCACCCACCCAUCACAACAGAUGUAGGAGCCCCAUGGAGAAACAGACACGAAGCAUUCUUCGGCACCGUGGGGCUGCCCCUGUCGCCUGGGGAUGUGGUCAGCCAGGCUCUAGGGGUCUCGGCUCGCACUAGAACUGCCCAAAGUAUGGAAGAGGCUGGCUCCAGAAAGGCUGGAGUCUCAGCCAGAGCUGGAACGACCUUUUCUGGAUGUAAGCCACAUCUGCAUUUCCUAUCAAUGACGUA